Molecule: long non-coding RNA, 645 nt
Organism: Papaver somniferum (opium poppy)
Lineage: Eukaryota; Viridiplantae; Streptophyta; Magnoliopsida; Ranunculales; Papaveraceae
Exons: 2
Source: RefSeq, a predicted model, not a curated record
CUCCUAUUUAAGAAGGAUAGAUAGAAUCGGUAAAAUAAAAACCCUAACUUAUAGAGAGGCAGCCGGAUACCAAAAUCAUUUGUUCGUCAGGAAAAGCGGCCAUCAUGAUUAAUGAAGAAGAAAAUCAGAUCUUGGUUGGUGGUGGUAGCAAACCCGUUGACGGAGGAGAAGCGGAGAAAAAAGAUCAGAUAACAAUGUUUGGAGAGUAUGAAAUUAUAAGACACGAAAAGAUUGAGAUUGCUAAAACAAGCAUGCGUCCUGCAUCCAGAAGGUAUUGCGCGCUGGCACGAAAAAGCGAGAAUCCGAAGGAACGCACAAACUGCCCAGUGUAAGAAAAUAAAGCUAGAGAGAGAGAGAACAGAAAAAGAAGAAAGCAUCAGAUCCAACAACAUUAGGUGCUGCUCGAGCAGCCUCUUGGGAGAAACUCUUUGAUGCGAGUACAACCUCGAUGUUGGUCUGUUGGUCGAAUAAAUAUUUAUGUGAAUCUCUCUAGAAAGACCCCUUUCAACUUCUACAAAGUAUUUUUCUUUUAUAUCAAGACAAGUUUGUUAUUUAUGUGAAUCUCUCUAGAAACCCUUUCAACUUCUACAAAGUAUUUUAUAUUUAUAAUGAACUAGUCAUUGCGUAUGGUCUGCAUGAUACUUC